AACGGUAACUAUGCCCACCUUGACUUUGAAGGUUGACAGCUGCCAUUUGGCCCUGGGACUCCUGAGAUCCACGGUCAGUAGAAAAACGUGUUAGCUCUGGCUCACGGAUAUGACUCCCUGUAGGCCCCUUAGGAAGAUAUUUAGGACAACAGCAGUCAGAGUUCAGCCUUCAGGUCUCUCUUAUCUGAGGUCUCCGUGUCAGCAGAUCCAUUUGGUGGGGGUCCAGGUUUAUGAAAAAUGACUCAGCAAUGUAUGUUAAGAUGGUAUCUUUGGUUUUCAUGGGGAACAAAACAAACAUCUUCUAACUGUAACAUCCUUGGCUAUUGUUUGAGCUACUAUUACCUUCUUGCUUAUCAAGUUCUUCAUUGACUUCUCAGUGCUAGCUAGGUACCUGGGAUUUGCCUUGAAGGGACUCACGAUUUUCCUUUAUUUCCCUGCUUGGGGAACCCAUAGGCCCCUAACAAGGGGUCCCUGCUCUAUCACAGGAUCUUCCGCACUCUGUCCACUGACUCACGUAUCACCCUAAAACUUAAAGUAUAAUAAUAAUGAAAUAAAAAAAAGAAUUUUGUACACAUAUAUCAGUGUAUACUCGCUCACAAAUAUACAUGUUUAUUUGCUCUGUCAGCCAAGAAAGCCAUGAUUUAACAGAAACCCCAAGCAUAAU
RNAcentral lists this long non-coding RNA (664 nucleotides) under Homo sapiens (human). Its description in RNAcentral is "non-protein coding lnc-MKRN3-8:1". The record is from RNAcentral. Lineage: Eukaryota; Metazoa; Chordata; Mammalia; Primates; Hominidae.